Molecule: long non-coding RNA, 397 nt
Filed under: Brassica napus (rape)
Lineage: Eukaryota; Viridiplantae; Streptophyta; Magnoliopsida; Brassicales; Brassicaceae
Description: long non-coding RNA (BNAP_LNC024766)
Source: RNAcentral
AGUUUUUGGGAGAGAAGAUCAGAGCUCCUUCAGAGUGAAUGGAACUCUUGUAUUUCUUACCCUCAAUCUUUUACAUUUUAUUCAGUUUAAGAUUAUAUUUUCUCUGAUCAUAUUUGUGUAAUUCACUUGUUAGAUUUAGGGAUUCUAAGGUUUUGAUGUACUUUUGAUUUAUAGAUCUGCUAGGGUAGUAUUGUUUCCUUCACCAUCAUUAAUCUUACUGCAUGUUCUUAAGUAAUUAACUAGGAACUUAAUCUUAGGAUAAUUGAAAUAAAACGAGUGUGUGACCGAUAUUCUUAUAUAUAUCCUGUUGAACUAGGUUGUUAGACAUAACAAACAACAAGAGUUGGCCUAAAGAACUUAGUGAAUAUAUCGAUUUGGAUCAUUAAUGCUUGUUUAG